This 484-nucleotide ribosomal RNA is filed under the name uncultured bacterium. Its description in RNAcentral is "partial 16S ribosomal RNA". It matches the Rfam family "Bacterial small subunit ribosomal RNA", at positions 30 to 507 of the family's 1533-position model. The record is from RNAcentral.
AUUGAACGCUGGCGGCAGGCCUAACACAUGCAAGUCGAGCGGAUGAAGGGAGCUUGCUCCUGGAUUCAGCGUCGGACGUGUGAGUAAUGCCUAUGAAUCUGCCUGGUAGUGUGUUAUAACGUCCUGAAACGGGCGCUAAUACCGCAUACGUCCUGAGUGAGAAAGUUGGGGAUCUUCGUACCUCACGCUCUCUUAUGAUCCUAGGUCGUAUUAGCUAGUUGGUGGGGUAAAGGCCUACCAAGGCGACGAUCCGUAAAUGGUCUGAGAGGAUGAUCAGUGAAAAUGGAAGUGAGACAGGGUCAAGAGAACUACGGGAGGAAGCAGUGGGGAAUAUUGGAAAAUGGGCGAAAGAAUGAUACAGCAAUGAAGAGUGUGAGAAGAAGGGCUUAGGAUUGUAAAGAACUUUAAGGUGGGAGGAAGGGAAGUAAGUUAAUAACUAGCUGUAGUGACGUUAACAAAAGAAUAAGCAACGGCUAACUACGUG